RNAcentral lists this ribosomal RNA (448 nucleotides) under uncultured bacterium. RNAcentral describes it as "SSU rRNA". It matches the Rfam family "Bacterial small subunit ribosomal RNA", at positions 26 to 518 of the family's 1533-position model. The record is from RNAcentral.
AGGAUGAACGCUGGCGGUCUGCUUAACACAUGCAAGUCGAACGGAGUAGCAAUACUUAGUGGCGGACGGGUGAGUAACGCGUGAGAAUCUGCCCUUAGGUCGGGGACAACCAUUGGAAACGAUGGCUAAUACCGGAUAAGCCGAGAGGUAAAAGAUUAAUUGCCUAGGGAAGAGCUCGCGUCUGAUUAGCUAGUUGGUGAGGUAAAGGCUCACCAAGGCAUCGAUCAGUAGCUGGUCUGAGAGGAUGAUCAGCCACACUGGGACUGAGACACGGCCCAGACUCCUACGGGAGGCAGCAGUGGGGAAUUUUCCGCAAUGGGCGAAAGCCUGACGGAGCAAGACCGCGUGAGGGAGGAAGGCUCUUGGGUUGUAAACCUCUUUUCUUGGGGAAGAACAAAAUGACGGUACCCAAGGAAUCAGCAUCGGCUAACUCCGCGUCAGCAGCCGC